GGCUAAACUUUUGCAAUUUAACUUGAAUUCAUAGGUCGAGCAUUACACUUAACAUGAGGGUAUGAAAUGUAAUUAUGAAUACAAAGUUAAAUAUGAACUCGAGUAGACUUCUUCCUUGUAUCACCAUUAAUUUUCUGCUCCAGCCCGCUCAACUUAAGUAUCUCGGCAUUUAUUUCAUCCCCCAAAUCUAAUAGCUUUUCAGCUCGAUAUUUCACCUCAACUUCUUUCAUAAAUUUUAUUUUCCUAAAGGCUAAAUACCAGCAAACAAAAGUCCCGCUUACUUGGACCAAACCACUCCCCACAAUAAAGUAAAAUGCGGGGACAUUGUAAAGUUUUGUUUGAAGUUAGGGCAAACACGAAAAAAUAAUUCAUAGAAAAGAAAAUAGCGACGGCUUUUAAAGAGAAUUUCAAGGAAUUAAGAAGUUCAGGUUGUACCAAGACUUGAGAUAACAGUUUGGCCAUCAAAUUAUUCAGUUGUUACUUCUUCCACAACCUUCAGAUCUUCCGCUAUAGUGCUGGAGAGAUGAAGAGGGGAGGAAAUGGGGCCGG
Molecule: long non-coding RNA, 549 nt
Filed under: Nicotiana benthamiana
Lineage: Eukaryota; Viridiplantae; Streptophyta; Magnoliopsida; Solanales; Solanaceae
Description: long non-coding RNA (NBEN_LNC033172)
Source: RNAcentral